AGGGAGGCCAAUGAAGCGUCAAGCCAGGCUGCUGUUCAGAAGGAAGCUUUAGGAUUGCAAACUAAAGCCAAAACCAAGGAAUCUGAAUUUGAAAAACCAAUAAAUUCAGCAUCAGCAGGUGUGUAGAUGUGACUGGAGCUUACAGUGCUCUAAAGAUGGAGCUUAACAUAAGCUUGACAACAAUAGGCCUUUUGUGGACUACAACUGACUUUAUUGCAAAGGGGAUUACACAUGGACCUGUGGAAGAAAGGGAAACAAGAAAGGGAAACAGGUAUAUGACAAGUGCACAACAAAUGGACUCACAACAAAGACAAGUGCACAAAGGAUGAUGAAUUGAAGGAUGGAGCAAGUUUCAUGCAUGGUUUACUUUUGUGUAUCUUGUAAUUUUUUGUUUUUCAUUUUUGAAGUAAAAAAUGUUCAAGAUUAUAAAACUUUAUUAUGUUAUGCUUUCAAACUUAAGUUAGAACUAAGAUCUCAUGAAAUAGACACAUUCAGAGUUUGAAUUAGUUAUUGUUUAAUGUAAUACUUAUGGUUUAUCAAUCUAUUGAGAAUUAUAUUUUAUGAUUAA
Long non-coding RNA from Humulus lupulus (European hop), 568 nucleotides. RefSeq lists it as uncharacterized. The record is from RefSeq and is a predicted model, not a curated record. The transcript has 2 exons. NCBI's taxonomy places the organism in Eukaryota, Viridiplantae, Streptophyta, Magnoliopsida, Rosales, Cannabaceae.